Molecule: transfer RNA, 76 nt
Filed under: Candidatus Caldatribacterium californiense
Lineage: Bacteria; Pseudomonadati; Atribacterota; Atribacteria; Atribacterales; Candidatus Caldatribacteriaceae
Also listed under: 15 other names
Description: tRNA-Thr
Rfam family: tRNA
About the family: Transfer RNA (tRNA) molecules are approximately 80 nucleotides in length. Their secondary structure includes four short double-helical elements and three loops (D, anti-codon, and T loops).
Source: RNAcentral
GCCGGUGUAGCUCAGCUGGUAGAGCAGCUGACUUGUAAUCAGCAGGUCGUCCGUUCGAGUCGGAUCACCGGCUCCA